This is a long non-coding RNA of Sebastes umbrosus (honeycomb rockfish), 409 nucleotides long. RefSeq lists it as uncharacterized. The transcript is spliced from 3 exons. The record is from RefSeq and is a predicted model, not a curated record. NCBI's taxonomy places the organism in Eukaryota, Metazoa, Chordata, Actinopteri, Perciformes, Sebastidae.
AGAACAGGGAGAACAGGGAGAACAGGGAGAACAGGGAGGAAAGGGAGAACAGGGAGAGCACGGAGAACAGGGAGAACACAGUAGAACAGGGAGGAAAGGGAGAACAGGGAGAACACAGUAGAACAGGGAGAGCACGGAGAACAGGGAGAACAGGUAAAGCAGGGAGAACACAGUAGAACAGGUAGAACAGGUAGAACACAGUAGAACAGGUAGAACAGGUAGAACAGGGAGAACACAGUAGAACAGGGAGAACAGGUAAAGCAGGGAGAACACAGUAGAACAGGGAGAACAGGGAGAACACAGUAGAACUGGACUUAUUCAGUAAAAACAGGAAUGGGUGAUGAAAUAAACCUUUUGCUGGUCGGCCCUCUUUGGACCAGGUCUAGCAGAUCUAGAUGGCCCUCUUUGG